This 465-nucleotide ribosomal RNA is filed under the name Vreelandella stevensii. RNAcentral's name for it is "partial 16S ribosomal RNA". It matches the Rfam family "Bacterial small subunit ribosomal RNA", at positions 338 to 795 of the family's 1533-position model. The record is from RNAcentral. Lineage: Bacteria; Pseudomonadati; Pseudomonadota; Gammaproteobacteria; Oceanospirillales; Halomonadaceae.
CCUAGGGGCGGCAGCAGUGGGGAAUAUUGGACAAUGGGCGAAAGCCUGAUCCAGCCAUGCCGCGUGUGUGAAGAAGGCCUUCGGGUUGUAAAGCACUUUCAGUGGGGAAGAAAGCCUUGGGGCUAAUACCCUCGAGGAAGGACAUCACCCACAGAAGAAGCACCGGCUAACUCCGUGCCAGCAGCCGCGGUAAUACGGAGGGUGCGAGCGUUAAUCGGAAUUACUGGGCGUAAAGCGCGCGUAGGCGGUCUGAUAAGCCGGUUGUGAAAGCCCCGGGCUCAACCUGGGAACGGCAUCCGGAACUGUCAGGCUAGAGUGCAGGAGAGGAAGGUAGAAUUCCCGGUGUAGCGGUGAAAUGCGUAGAGAUCGGGAGGAAUACCAGUGGCGAAGGCGGCCUUCUGGACUGACACUGACGCUGAGGUGCGAAAGCGUGGGUAGCAAACAGGAUUAGAUACCCUGGUAGUC